UGGGGAAUUUUGGACAAUGGGCGAAAGCCUGAUCCAGCAAUGCCGCGUGUGUGAAGAAGGCCUUCGGGUUGUAAAGCACUUUUGUCCGGAAAGAAAUCCUUGGCUCUAAUACAGUCGGGGGAUGACGGUACCGGAAGAAUAAGCACCGGCUAACUACGUGCCAGCAGCCGCGGUAAUACGUAGGGUGCAAGCGUUAAUCGGAAUUACUGGGCGUAAAGCGUGCGCAGGCGGUUUGCUAAGACCGAUGUGAAAUCCCCGGGCUCAACCUGGGAACUGCAUUGGUGACUGGCAGGCUAGAGUAUGGCAGAGGGGGGUAGAAUUCCACGUGUAGCAGUGAAAUGCGUAGAGAUGUGGAGGAAUACCGAUGGCGAAGGCAGCCCCCUGGGAUGAUACUGACGCUCAUGCACGAAAGCGUGGGGAGCAAACAGGAUUAGAUACCCUGGUAGUCCACGCCCUAAACGAUGUCAACUAGCUGUUGGGGGUUUAUUAACCUUAGUAGCGCAGCUAACGCGUGAAGUUGACCGCCUGGGGGAGUACGGUCGCAAGAUU
This 549-nucleotide ribosomal RNA is filed under the name uncultured bacterium. RNAcentral's name for it is "partial 16S ribosomal RNA". It matches the Rfam family "Bacterial small subunit ribosomal RNA", at positions 355 to 895 of the family's 1533-position model. The record is from RNAcentral.